CCGACCUGAGAGGGUGACCGGCCACAUUGGGACUGAGACACGGCCCAAACUCCUACGGGAGGCAGCAGUGGGGAAUAUUGCACAAUGGGCGAAAGCCUGAUGCAGCGACGCCGCGUGAGUGAAGAAGUAUCUCGGUAUGUAAAGCUCUAUCAGCAGGGAAGAAAAUGACGGUACCUGACUAAGAAGCCCCGGCUAACUACGUGCCAGCAGCCGCGGUAAUACGUAGGGGGCAAGCGUUAUCCGGAUUUACUGGGUGUAAAGGGAGCGUAGACGGCGACGCAAGUCUGGAGUGAAAGCCCGGGGCCCAACCCCGGGACUGCUUUGGAAACUGUGCUGCUGGAGUGCAGGAGAGGUAAGUGGAAUUCCUAGUGUAGCGGUGAAAUGCGUAGAUAUUAGGAGGAACACCAGUGGCGAAGGCGGCUUACUGGACUGUAACUGACGUUGAGGCUCGAA
This 453-nucleotide ribosomal RNA is filed under the name uncultured bacterium. RNAcentral's name for it is "bacterial SSU rRNA". It matches the Rfam family "Bacterial small subunit ribosomal RNA", at positions 287 to 757 of the family's 1533-position model. The record is from RNAcentral.